UACGGGGGGGGUAAGCGUUGUUCGGAAUUACUGGGCGUAAAGGGCUCGUAGGCGGCCAACUAAGUCAUACGUGAAAUCCCUCAGCUUAACUGGGGAACUGCGUGUGAUACUGGAUGGCUUGGAUUUGGGAGAGGGAUGCGGAAUUCCAGGUGUAGCGGUGAAAUGCGCAGAUAUCAGGAGGAACACCAAUGGCGAAGGCAGCUCGCUGGGACGUGACUGACGCUGAGACGCGAAAGCGUGGGGAGCAAACAGG
RNAcentral lists this ribosomal RNA (253 nucleotides) under uncultured bacterium. RNAcentral's name for it is "partial 16S ribosomal RNA". It matches the Rfam family "Bacterial small subunit ribosomal RNA", at positions 524 to 776 of the family's 1533-position model. The record is from RNAcentral.